This 578-nucleotide long non-coding RNA is filed under the name Homo sapiens (human). Its description in RNAcentral is "HSALNT0385930". Lineage: Eukaryota; Metazoa; Chordata; Mammalia; Primates; Hominidae. The record is from RNAcentral.
ACUCUUAACCAUUCUAUAGAAUCAGCACCCAUCUUUGAGUCAGAGUUUGAGAUGCAAAUCCUUUACUGUAUAGCCUUGAUCAAAUGACUUCACCUCAUUGAAUUAAUCUUCUUCUGCAUAAAAUGGGGUCACCAUCUGCUUAUCUAAAUUGUUACAAAUGGGACAGUAUAUGUGCCAUUCCAGAUACCUAAUCACAGCUCAAUCGAUGCUGGUGUCUUUUUCCUUUUUCCUUCUGCAGAAAACAUGCUUUACAUAGGAUCUCUGAACUUAAAGAAUGGGAAGAAGAAAAAUCAUGUUUCCAGCUUGGGCUGCUGUUUCAUCUGUUGGACUUGCUUGAUCCCUGAAUGGAAAGGAAUGCUAUGCACACUUUUUGGAUACAGGAAGUGAGAUUCAGAGGGGUUAAACAGCUUUCCUAAAGCCACACAGCGAGAGAGUCGAUCUGAACUGAAGAUUGUUUGACAUCAAAGCUCAUUUCUUUCCCUAAAUGUCAGCAUUCUUUCCUGACUUAUUAAUUUGAUUUCUGUCCUCCCCUCAUGGAAGUUAAUUAAAGGAAUGCGAGAACCUUUUAGAAAAUCUCC